This 76-nucleotide transfer RNA is filed under the name Longimicrobiales bacterium. RNAcentral describes it as "tRNA-Val". It matches the Rfam family "tRNA". Rfam says of the family: Transfer RNA (tRNA) molecules are approximately 80 nucleotides in length. Their secondary structure includes four short double-helical elements and three loops (D, anti-codon, and T loops). RNAcentral also lists the same sequence under 1 other name. The record is from RNAcentral. Lineage: Bacteria; Pseudomonadati; Gemmatimonadota; Longimicrobiia; Longimicrobiales.
GGGCGCUUAGCUCAGCCUGGUUCAGAGCACCUGCCUUACAAGCAGGGGGUCGGCGGUUCGAAUCCGUCAGCGCCCA